This 67-nucleotide transfer RNA is filed under the name Micronychus sp. UPOL MT0017. Its description in RNAcentral is "tRNA-Phe". The record is from RNAcentral. Lineage: Eukaryota; Metazoa; Arthropoda; Insecta; Coleoptera; Lycidae.
UAUUUUAAUAGCUUAUAAAGAGCGUGAUAUUGAAGAUAUUAAGGAAGUAAUUUUUACUUUAAAAUAU